GUUAGGUUAUUACAAGAGCCACUCUCUUUUCAACGCCAUAGUUCACUUACUACAAUUUGCUUUUGAAGCUCCUAGCCAUUGAACUUCAAAAUUCGAAGUUGUUAAGUCAGGGAGAUUUCACUGGUAAAUUUUCUUGGUAGGAAAGAGAAAGAGGUUGAGUUCAGUUAUCAUAAAUAUGUUUGUAAUUGUAUAGUUUUAUUUGAUGUCAACAAAUGUUUUUAUUUAUUUGAUUUUAAUAUUUAGCAUUUCCUUGCUUAUCAAUUUUAUCUGGAGGAGCAUUUGGAAAAAUUUAUNNNNNNNAAUUCCUCAAUAGAUGGGAUACGAUUUGUAAUUGUAUAUCAAUGCUUUUAUGAAGAAAUAUUACAGUGCUUGCAUCAUAUGGCUGUUAUUAAUAUACUGUUACAGUAUCUUCAUGCGUGUUUGUUGUCAGUGCAUGGUGUAUACACUCUUGACUAAAGACUUCAAUG
RNAcentral lists this unclassified non-coding RNA (467 nucleotides) under Hevea brasiliensis (rubber tree). Lineage: Eukaryota; Viridiplantae; Streptophyta; Magnoliopsida; Malpighiales; Euphorbiaceae. The record is from RNAcentral.